This 425-nucleotide ribosomal RNA is filed under the name uncultured bacterium. Its description in RNAcentral is "bacterial SSU rRNA". It matches the Rfam family "Bacterial small subunit ribosomal RNA", at positions 355 to 772 of the family's 1533-position model. The record is from RNAcentral.
UGGGGAGUAUUGGGCAAUGGGCGAAAGCCUGACCCAGCCACGCCGCGUGAGUGAUGAAGGCCUUCGGGUCGUAAAGCUCUGUGGGGAGGGACGAACAAGCCGGGCGCUAAUCACCCCGGUCCUGACGGUACCUCCUUAGCAAGCACCGGCUAACUUCGUGCCAGCAGCCGCGGUAAUACGAAGGGUGCAAACGUUGCUCGGAAUCAUUGGGCGUAAAGCGCACGUAGGCGGCCCGAUAAGUCGGAUGUGAAAUCCCUCGGCUCAACCGAGGACGUGCAUUCGAAACUGUCGGGCUCGAGUAUGGAAGAGGGUCGCGGAAUUCCCGGUGUAGAGGUGAAAUUCGUAGAUAUCGGGAGGAACACCAGUGGCGAAGGCGGCGACCUGGGCCAAUACUGACGCUGAGGUGCGAAAGCGUGGGGAGCAAA